Molecule: unclassified non-coding RNA, 6836 nt
Filed under: Limulus polyphemus (Atlantic horseshoe crab)
Lineage: Eukaryota; Metazoa; Arthropoda; Merostomata; Xiphosura; Limulidae
Description: uncharacterized LOC106466348, transcript variant X10
Source: RNAcentral
AAACCCAAUCGAGAUGCAGACUGUUGGAUUAUUUAUACUUACGUACGGUUUGUGAUAAGCAUCGGGGUAUACUGUUAAAGAACUUGUAUGAGUAAUUUUCAAUACGAUUUGUACAGUUUCAUUUGUGUGUCGGUUUUGAGUCGUGUUUGAUUAAGGACUGUAUAUGAUAUUGGUAACACUAACAGUAUAGUAUCGUAAAUUGUCCCUACUGACUGAUGUUUCCAGUGUAAUUCAAGAAAUUGACAGCAAAUUACCAUGCUGUAAAUAAACUUUGAACUUUGUUACUCAUAAGACAUAUUUUUUAAAUCUCGUAUAUAUACUUAGUGAUUUUCUUCAACUAAGUAUGUUAUCAAAAAUUCAUCAUUAUUUAAAACAGCAUUGAAGUUGCAACUUGUAUUUUUAGAACAGUAACAAAGAUAUGUGCUUUCACAUCAGACAGGUUAAUUUUGUAUUUUUACAUAUAUAUGGAAAAACAAAAUGACUGAACUAAUAAACAAAACAGCACCAGCAUGUGCCACAAAAAAUCUAAAGGAAGAAGGCUAUUACAGUCCUGAAAAUGGAAUAUGUUUAGAGACUACGUGUGUCAACCAAAAUGGUGAAAAAGAAAAUCAAUAUGAAAACACAGUGGAUUUGUUACAUCAUGCUGCUGAGCAAUGUCAGAUGGUUGCCAAUCGUCUAAAAUGGAAAGAAUUGCAGAAAAAGUAUGCUACAGCAGAGCUAACAACACAACAAGAAGUGCCUCAAAUAUUGCAAGACCAUUCAUCUUGUUCUAAUAUUAAACAGAGAUCCACCAAUGGGCAAGAAUUGUCAACACAACAUGAAAUCUCCUUGAAUGUACUGAAAUGUGAAUGCUGUUCUGAAAUGGCUCAGAAGCUUAAAGCUUCAGUUACUGAAUGUGGAAGAUUAAGAAAGGUCAUUAAGGAGAUAACUGAUGUGAAUAAGCGAUGGCAGAAAUAUAACCAAGAGAGACAAGAAUAUCUUCAACAGCUUCUUACUAACUUCCAGGAACUACAACAGAGAGUAAACACUUCAAAUUGUAAUGACUCUCUGCUAGAAAAUUCUUUGUCACUACAAACAGCCAACUCUGUUGCUGGAACUCAUGGAUCAUACAGACAUAGUGAUUCAGCUCUUCUAAAUAAACCAACAGAGCAGUUGACAUUAAAGCAAAGCUAUGAAAAGGUGGUCAAGGACAACUGUCGACUUCAGAAAGAACAAGAAGAAAUGCGUCAAAACUUUGAGGCUUUAGUUUAUCAACUAGAUCUUGUUAGAAAUGAACGAAAAGAGCAUAUAGAAGUUCUAGAAAUGCAGGUUAGAGCACACAAAGAAGAUUGGGAAGCUGAAAAGCGAGAAAAAGAAGAAGCACAAAUAAAAUUGAAACAUCUAACAGAGGAAUUAAGUACUGCAAAGGCCAUGAGUCGAGACCUUGAGCAACAGAUCUAUAAAAGUGAUAAAACUUGCCACUGUAGUUCUGAGAGCCAGGAGAAAGCUUUGGUUGUUCUUAAUGGUCAUGGCCAAGCAAAUAAAGUUGAUCAACUACAUCAGUGGUGGGCUCCAAAUUCUCCUGCUACACCAUCUAAUGAUCAAAAGAAGCAAAACAUAUCCCCAAACGAGCCAGCAAGUAUUCAAAACGUUAAUAACCAGACUUACUAUAGUAGUGUGGCUUGUAACAUCUAUGCUCCAGAAUUGCCUGAAGUUCUAUAUAGAGGUGUCAACUUCAAACCUCAGAUGAAAACAAAUGACUUGGUGGUUGAUGUCAGUACUUUUCAUCCAAAGGCAAAUAACUCCCCAACAAGAACUACUCUUAUUAAACAAUUAAAUGAGUGCAGGUGCCACCUAUGUCAAUGGUUUUCAAAGUAAAAGUAGGAAGACUUUUAACCACCAGGAAUUUCUAAACUUUAACACAGCCAUGUCACUAGAAGGAGCAGGAUUGAUGUCCAUCAAUGAGCAUGACAAUAAUACUAGAAUCCUUAUCAAAACAUGGGAAGGCCAAGGGUUAGAAAAUCAUUGGUUGAAAUAUUUUGUUUUUACAGAAAAAAGUGGGCCAGGCAGUCCAGUCAGUUGUGAGCACAGUGGCCAUAAACCACCACCUCUCUAGUGGUUGAAUUGGAUCUGGAGCUAAAGUUGUCUUAAGAGGAAACUGGGUGCCAGGAAGGGACACCCAAGAUAUUUGCCAACACUCAACCAGCACCACCAAUGACAGAGGUGUAGAUUUUAAUGGCUAGUAGAAGGACCACCGUAAAUAGAAAUGUGGUAGUUGUGAAGGUCUUUAUACUAACCACACCAGUAGUACAUUUGACAGCAAGAGCCUUCAGGUUGAAUGAAGGUGCCUCCACCUCAAAAGCUGACCAAAACGUAACUGUGACUCCCCAUACCACUACCAAGACAAAGCUCGGGACAUUCACACUAACAUCAGCAGAGCAACUAGCGACUAUGUGGUCCAAUGAGCUACCUCAAUGACAACCAAGGGUUGACCAGCCCACCACUGUUUCAUUGUUCUGACAGAGCAGCAGGUACAGCUAAUAAAUUGGCACUGAUAGUAAGAUAACAGCCAUGUAAAACAGGGAAUAAGCCCUCAAUCUCACCUUCCAUGUUGGAAAAAGAGGUCCACUACCUGUAGAUAGAGCUGGCCCAAACCAAGAUGAUCCUUGGUUCAAGAAAUCACCAAGGACAUUAUGGCAACCAAUCAUGAUCUGUCACUUCUUUAGAGGAUCUGCUGUUAGGGUGAAAGUGAGGGGAGUCAGAUCUCAUUGCUAUUGUUAAGAUAGUUAUAUACAUUUUUAAUUUAAGGUCUGUAAAUAUCUGUAUCUUUGCAUUUCAUUUUUUUUCUGUUUGUUGUUCCAUUAUCUCAAAUGUACAAAUUCCCAAUUUGUUUGUGUAUUUGCACACUAUGAACAUAGUUUUAAUCUUUCUGUACUGUAAUUUCUAAGGGAUUUAUUUUCUUUAUCUUGUGUAUAAAUAUCAGUGUUUUAGGAUCAAUUCUGCAUUCAUUUCAGACAAUUUGUUUAGUGAUUUCUAUUUAGUUUUAUGUUGUAAUUAUAAUAUUCAUAAGGCCUAGAAAAAGAAUGCUUUGUUUCUGGUUGACCGACCGACCCUACAUAACAAUGUUUUUUCAACCCCUCUCCUCCAAAAAAAAUCACUCCUGACCCACCCUAACGAAAAAUGCUCUUUGAUUUUUUUUUCGUUAAAUUAUUGAAUUAAUAUGCUACUAUAUUGUACAAGGUGAAGGGAAUAAGAAACCACGUCUAUGAUUCGUUAGUCGGUGUGGUACGUGUGUCAAUGCUCUUAGCCAUUUAACUCUCACAACACAGGUUUGUCCCCUGGUGGGACAGCAGUAAGGUUAUGGGUUCGAUUCUCUGUGGUGGACACAGCAAAUAGCCCAGUGUGGUUUUGCUCUAAAUCACAAACAACAUGAGUUUGGUCAAGUUGAUUGACCGCAUGACCACUUUGUACUUGUUAUGGUCACAAACUUUUGCAGACUUUCAGUAAACUUUAUAUUCAAAAAAUUAGAUUUUUAGUGAAGUAUUUUUACUACAGAUUUGUCUGUGAAUAUAUCGAACCUUUCUUUUUACCAGUCCGAGUGCAAAGUGAUUUUUUAAGAUUAAAAAUACUUUUCUUCAUCUCGAAUGUCAUUUGCGUAAUCUAUAAAACCUAUUAAAUAUAUUUCAAACGUUCUUUUUUUUUUCAAUAAAACAUAAUAAUAGCUCUAUACAAGUUUGGUCAAUUUAACUGGCCUCAUAACUACAAAAAAAAAAUUGAAAUAAAUAUAAAUUACACUUUUUUCUGUAUGGAAUGACUUCACAUUGCAACAUGAAACUACAUUUGUUUAUCCUAAGUAGUUAUAAACUCAUAACAGUAUACAUCUAUUUAUACAUAAAUUAUAUUGUUGUACUGCCCUUUGAACCUUGUCUAACUACUAUUGUACCAUUAUAAGUUGUAACUCACUUGGGGAACGUGCACCUCACGUUAUCUAUAGAAUUACAUUACCCAUGAGCUAUUCUGAGCUGUUCAUGAAAUUUUUGUAUUAUUUUAUCAUUUAUUUUACCUAAACUAACCUUACCCAACCUAAAGAGUUUCGAAUUUUUACAUUUUAGUUCUAUAGUGACCAUAUGUCUAAAUAAUACUUUUUCUGAUAGUGCUUAGCAUCUAGAACAAUCUGAUAUAUUAUAAAAUAUGUAUCUGUAUUAAAAAUACCCUGCCUACCUACCCAAUUGUUUUCAGCAUGUAAUAGGGAACAAAGCAUUUGCUUUUCUAGACCUAAAUGUUAAACGUUUUAUUUUGGAUAUUGUGUACAUGGAUUUCAGUGUUUUGGUUUCAGAUCAAAUGGUUCAUUUUGUGACUCUUACUUUGUAUUUUUUCUUAUGCUGAAUUGUAGUUGUAGUUGUUGCUCUAUAUCAGAGUGCUGAAUUGUGUGUUUUUGAAUUUAGUAUGUUGUAACAUUUCAUUGUUAAAGGGUUUAUAUUAUGAUUAAUACAUUUUUUGUGAGUGUCACUAUGCAAAAUUAGUAAGUGAUGUAUUGUGUUCCAUUGUGGAAGAUUUUUCCAGUGUGUAUACUGUAUCUUUAUUGAAGAGCUAUUAAUGUAAAACAAAUGUAGGUUUCUUUGUUGACUCUGUGGAUCAAAGUGCUUAUAACACUAUGUCAAGUUUUAUUUAUGGGCUGGAUUGUUUACAGUAGGUGUCUGUGACUUGUUGGAGAUAAAUUUUAACAAUAAACAAAUAACACAGUCCACUUGUUUUAAAAUAUAUUAAAAAGAGUCAAACAUAUAUAUAAAUGUUUGUUAUGCUGUUGGUUAUUACAGGUGUAUUGAGAGCUUUAAAUAAUUGCCUCUUUCUUGUCAAAGUCCACACAGGCCAAUUCAGUUACUUUAAAAUUUGCCACUACACGCUCUCUAUGACAAAACUCACAGUCGUGCAGUCUAGAUCUAACUAAAUUUUCAAUGUGUAUUUAUACCCCAACUGAUGCCUAGAAUGUUCCACAAACUACUAAAUAUUGUGAUGCAAUAAUACUCAAUUAAACAUGGGAAAAACUGAAAAAGGGUCUAGUAACAUGAUGCAAUAACAUAAUUGCCAAUUCACAACAAUUGAACCACAAGGUAUGAUUCGUAAACAGUUACGUAAACAAACUUCUAAAAAUAACUAAAUUUAACACUCAUGCUAUAUAAUGAUUUAAAUCAUAACUAUCACAUUAAACUUAACUGGAGGCUGUUGUUAUAUCUAACACACUACUCUUUUACAGAGUUACAUUCAAAAUAUAAUUAAACAACUUAAUUAUCAAUGCAUACCAAUUAGCUAGGCAUCAAAAAUUAGUUUAUUCUAAUUUCAAUGUUAUAUAAGUUUUAAUUUCAAAAGGAAAUGUCACCAAGCUAAGAUAUUAAUUUAUAACCUUUAUUCCUGAUGCUCUACUGAAAGUCAAACCCUCCUAGGACUUCCUGUCUUUCAAAAAUAUGAGUAAUUCUCUAGAACAUUUAAUAUUGGGUUAUUUCUAACAAAUAGAAAGAGAAGAUUCCAGCUUAUUGAAUGGGAUGAGACUAGUAGCCAUCUGGAUAACUAGUUUUUAAGUCUUUGGCAUCAUUUAUGUUGUCUGCUAGCAGUGAAACUCUGCUUGAUCAGACAUGUGAAUUAUUUAACUAAUUCCUAGCUUAGUUAGAAAGCUGGAUAAAUUAUAUUUGUUUUAGAACCUUCUAUUUUACAUUAGUAAUGAUAUUUCGUAUUUAAAAUUGAAUAUGUGAACUUAAUAAAAUUACUUUUGAGACCACACUUGUUAUACAAAAUUAGAGUUUUUGUAUGACAUGGACUUUUUUAGUUAUUGUUAUAAAAGUAAAUAAAAUAUAGAAAUUAGAAACUUGCUAGGUUAGCAAAGAAAAAUAAAUAAAAUAUUCAUAGCAUGCACUCAGCAUGAGCGUAUUUGUGUGAUUUGAUAAGAGUGUGCUGGUAAUUGAUCCUUUGUUUUUACAUAGCUAUUCUGCAUAAAACAUAGCUAUCACACAACCUAACAGGAUCUAACAGCAACUGUAAUGUAUUAAAACUAAAUGAAAAAUAUAUUAGUUGUGGCUGUAAAAAUAAAUAGUGUGUACGUUUUUGUUACACUACAUCAUUCUAGAAAAAGUAAUUUAGAUUUAUUUUUACAUGAUGGUUAUAAGGUUGAUCACACUGAUUGAGAUGAAUAAAGGGGCAAGAGAAAGUUUCGGUACUUCUUGAUCUAGGCAUGUGUAUAGAUUCUAUUAAUUAUAGAGUUAGAAUUAAAUGUUAGCUUGAGGACAAGCAUGAAGUAUUUACUGUGGCAAGAGAGAGUUACAGUACUUCUUGAUCAGUGCACGUGUAUAGAUUCCAUAGAUAUUAAUUAAUAUAAAAUACUGGCUUGAGGACAAGCUUGAAAUAAAGAGGGAGGAAAAAUGUGGUGUAUAUAAUGCAUUUUACCUGAUUUUAAUAGAGCAUUUUUCAAAAUUCGUCAGUUAUUCUGAUAUGCAAAUUUGGUCAAUAAAUUUGUUAAGUUGCUUUCAUCCUAAUUGCAUUUAUUCUUUGUUAGUUUCUUGAGAUAACAGCUAAUUCUCCUGUGGAAAGUAUGGAUGUAAAGCUACAUCUUAUGCAUUGAUAUUUACAGCAGUAUCCAUCAUUGGUAGUUCUUAUGAUUCCACGAUGUUAUGAUGCCCUUUAUGUUUGAAUACGAAUAACCAGUCACAUUGAAAACACUGGUCACUCUGGAUAAGCCUGACAUUAUAGUUUUCUAAAUAACAUUAGGUUUGUUAGUCUGGUACUUGAUUUCAACUGGGACAAUCUGGUAUAUUAUCUCAACUGAUACAGUUUACAAAGAAAACUGUUCAAGAUACAAUAAAAAUGAU